Molecule: long non-coding RNA, 686 nt
Organism: Pteropus alecto (black flying fox)
Lineage: Eukaryota; Metazoa; Chordata; Mammalia; Chiroptera; Pteropodidae
Exons: 3
Source: RefSeq, a predicted model, not a curated record
UGCAAGCGCGAAGCCUCUUACCUUUGCGAGCUUCACCAUGAUGGCGGCUAAUAACGGCGGAGCGUGUGGCAGGCGAGUGGCGCAGAUGAGCCCGAAGGAACCCAACGACGUCGAUGGCGGCCGCUGGUACUGAAGACUCGGAGCGCGUACGCUUGGCUGCCAGCUAGAGCUCGAGACUGAGGCGAAAGACUGAGCCUGCCCAGUAAUCGCCUCUGGAAAGGCGACGACGGCACCCUCGUGACUCCUUUUCGACCAACCAGAGUUCGCGCUCAUCCCAUGAGCCAACCGUCGGCUUUCGGGACUCAGCCACCUCUUCAUGGAGUCCUCCUGUUAUCCCCAGACUGGACUGGGUACUCCUCUAUGCCCCGAGGUCACCAGCUGUCACAAUGCUUGUGGAUGCAGAAAAAGCAUUUCACAAAAUCCAGUACCCUUUCAUGAUAAAAACACUCAACAAAGAAAUAGAAGAGUGCUUCUUCAACAUGAUAAAAAGGUGUCUACAAAAAAUCCACAACUAAUAACAAACUCAAUGGUGAAAGAAAGACUGGAACUUUUCCCCUAAGAUUGUAAGUAAGACCAACAUGUCUGCUAUCACCACUUCUUUUCAACAUCGUACUGGAGGUUUUAUCCAGGGUAACUGGCAAGGUGCGGGGAAGGCAUCCAGUUUGAAAAGGAAGAAGUAAAACUAU